This 489-nucleotide ribosomal RNA is filed under the name uncultured bacterium. Its description in RNAcentral is "bacterial SSU rRNA". It matches the Rfam family "Bacterial small subunit ribosomal RNA", at positions 28 to 517 of the family's 1533-position model. The record is from RNAcentral.
GAUGAACGCUAGCGGGAGGCCUAAUACAUGCAAGUCGAGCGGUAGAGUGACUUCGGUUGCUUGAGAGCGGCGAACGGGUGAGUAACGCGUACACAAUCUACCUUUAAGAGGGGAAUAGCCCUGGGAAACUGGGAUUAAUGCCCCAUGGCAUCACGAAGUGGCAUCGCUUUGUGAUUAAAGCUGAGGUGCUUAGAGAUGAGUGUGCGUCUGAUUAGCUAGUUGGUGCGGUAACGGCGCACCAAGGCGACGAUCAGUAGGGGGCGUGAGAGCGUGGACCCCCACACGGGUACUGAGACACGGACCCGACUCCUACGGGAGGCAGCAGUAAGGAAUAUUGGUCAAUGGAGGAAACUCUGAACCAGCCAUCCCGCGUGCAGGAAGAAUGCCCUAUGGGUUGUAAACUGCUUUUAUCUGGGAAGAAAGUCGGGAUUUAUCCUGAUCUGACGGUACCAGAGGAAUAAGCACCGGCUAACUCCGUGCCAGCAGCCG